RNAcentral lists this ribosomal RNA (1077 nucleotides) under Bacillus sp. XQph-2. Its description in RNAcentral is "bacterial SSU rRNA". It matches the Rfam family "Bacterial small subunit ribosomal RNA", at positions 61 to 1120 of the family's 1533-position model. The record is from RNAcentral. Lineage: Bacteria; Bacillati; Bacillota; Bacilli; Caryophanales; Bacillaceae.
GUCGAGCGGACAGAAGGGAGCUUGCUCCCGGAUGUUAGCGGCGGACGGGUGAGUAACACGUGGGUAACCUGCCUGUAAGACUGGGAUAACUCCGGGAAACCGGAGCUAAUACCGGAUAGUUCCUUGAACCGCAUGGUUCAAGGAUGAAAGACGGUUUCGGCUGUCACUUACAGAUGGACCCGCGGCGCAUUAGCUAGUUGGUGGGGUAAUGGCUCACCAAGGCGACGAUGCGUAGCCGACCUGAGAGGGUGAUCGGCCACACUGGGACUGAGACACGGCCCAGACUCCUACGGGAGGCAGCAGUAGGGAAUCUUCCGCAAUGGACGAAAGUCUGACGGAGCAACGCCGCGUGAGUGAUGAAGGUUUUCGGAUCGUAAAGCUCUGUUGUUAGGGAAGAACAAGUGCGAGAGUAACUGCUCGCACCUUGACGGUACCUAACCAGAAAGCCACGGCUAACUACGUGCCAGCAGCCGCGGUAAUACGUAGGUGGCAAGCGUUGUCCGGAAUUAUUGGGCGUAAAGGGCUCGCAGGCGGUUUCUUAAGUCUGAUGUGAAAGCCCCCGGCUCAACCGGGGAGGGUCAUUGGAAACUGGGAAACUUGAGUGCAGAAGAGGAGAGUGGAAUUCCACGUGUAGCGGUGAAAUGCGUAGAGAUGUGGAGGAACACCAGUGGCGAAGGCGACUCUCUGGUCUGUAACUGACGCUGAGGAGCGAAAGCGUGGGGAGCGAACAGGAUUAGAUACCCUGGUAGUCCACGCCGUAAACGAUGAGUGCUAAGUGUUAGGGGGUUUCCGCCCCUUAGUGCUGCAGCUAACGCAUUAAGCACUCCGCCUGGGGAGUACGGUCGCAAGACUGAAACUCAAAGGAAUUGACGGGGGCCCGCACAAGCGGUGGAGCAUGUGGUUUAAUUCGAAGCAACGCGAAGAACCUUACCAGGUCUUGACAUCCUCUGACAACCCUAGAGAUAGGGCUUUCCCUUCGGGGACAGAGUGACAGGUGGUGCAUGGUUGUCGUCAGCUCGUGUCGUGAGAUGUUGGGUUAAGUCCCGCAACGAGCGCAACCCUUGAUCUUAGUUGCCA